GCGAAAGCCUGACCCAGCCAUGCCGCGUGCAGGAAGACGGCUCUAUGGGUUGUAAACUGCUUUUACUCGGGAAGAAUAAGGGUUACGUGUAACCCGAUGACGGUACCGAAAGAAUAAGCAUCGGCUAACUCCGUGCCAGCAGCCGCGGUAAUACGGAGGAUGCGAGCGUUAUCCGGAAUUAUUGGGUUUAAAGGGUCCGCAGGCGGACAGGUAAGUCAGUAGUGAAAAACCAGGGCUUAACCCCGGUCGUGCUACAGAAACUGCCUGACUAGAGAGAAGUUUGGCGGUUGGCGGAAUGUGACAAGUAGCGGUGAAAUGCAUAGAUAUGUCACAGAACACCGAUAGCGAAAGCAGCUGACGAAGACUAUAUCUGACGCUCAGGGACGAAAGCGUGGGGAGCAAACAGGAUUAGAUACCCUGGUAGUCCACGCAGUAAACGAUGGGUACCAUCUUUUUGUCCGCAAGGAUGAGAGGAUCAUCGAAAGAGAUAAGUACCCCACCUGGGGAGUACGUGCGCAAGCAUGAAACUCAAAGGAAUUGACGGGGGCCCGCACAAGCGGUGGAGCAUGUGGUUUAAUUCGAUGAUACGCGAGGAACCUUACCGGGGUUUAAAUGGGAUCUGAAUAACCUGGAAACAGGUUAGCCGCAAGGCAGAUUUCAAGGUGCUGCAUGGUUGUCGUCAGCUCGUGCCGUGAGGUGUUAGGUUAAGUCCUGCAACGAGCGCAACCCCCAUGAUCCGUUACUAACAGGUGAAGCUGAGGACUCAGAUCAGACUGCCGGCGUAAGCCGCGAGGAAGGUGGGGAUGACGUCAAAUCAUCACGGCCCUUACAUCCCGGGCUACACACGUGUUACAAUGGCCGGUACA
This 866-nucleotide ribosomal RNA is filed under the name human gut metagenome. RNAcentral describes it as "bacterial SSU rRNA". It matches the Rfam family "Bacterial small subunit ribosomal RNA", at positions 375 to 1241 of the family's 1533-position model. The record is from RNAcentral.